RNAcentral lists this transfer RNA (85 nucleotides) under Felis catus (domestic cat). It matches the Rfam family "tRNA". Rfam says of the family: Transfer RNA (tRNA) molecules are approximately 80 nucleotides in length. Their secondary structure includes four short double-helical elements and three loops (D, anti-codon, and T loops). Further hydrogen bonds mediate the characteristic L-shaped molecular structure. tRNAs have two regions of fundamental functional importance: the anti-codon, which is responsible for specific mRNA codon recognition, and the 3' end, to which the tRNAs corresponding amino acid is attached (by aminoacyl-tRNA synthetases). tRNAs cope with the degeneracy of the genetic code in two manners: having more than one tRNA (with a specific anti-codon) for a particular amino acid; and 'wobble' base-pairing, i.e. permitting non-standard base-pairing at the 3rd anti-codon position. RNAcentral also lists the same sequence under 2 other names. Lineage: Eukaryota; Metazoa; Chordata; Mammalia; Carnivora; Felidae. The record is from Rfam by way of RNAcentral.
GCCUGGGUGGCUCAGUCGGUUGAGCGUCCGACUUCAGCUCAGGUCACGAUCUCGCAGUCUGUGAGUUCGAGCCCCAUGUCAGGCU